AGUGAACGCUGGCGGUAGGCCUAACACAUGCAAGUCGAACGGCAGCACAGGAGAGCUUGCUCUCUGGGUGGCGAGUGGUGGACGGGUGAGGAAUACAUCGGAAUCUACUUUUUCGUGGGGGAUAACGUAGGGAAACUUACGCUAAUACCGCAUACGACCUACGGGUGAAAGCAGGGGAUCUUCGGACCUUGCGCGAUUGAAUGAGCCGAUGUCGGAUUAGCUAGUUGGCGGGGUAAAGGCCCACCAAGGCGACGAUCCGUAGCUGGUCUGAGAGGAUGAUCAGCCACACUGGAACUGAGACACGGUCCAGACUCCUACGGGAGGCUGCAGUGGGGAAUAUUGGACAAUGGGCGCAAGCCUGAUCCAGCCAUACCGCGUGGGUGAAGAAGGCCUUCGGGUUGUAAAGCCCUUUUGUUGGGAAAGAAAUCCAGCUGGUUAAUACCCGGUUGGGAUGACGGUACCCAAAGAAUAAGCACCGGCUAACUUCGUGCCAGCAGCCGCAGUAA
RNAcentral lists this ribosomal RNA (506 nucleotides) under uncultured bacterium. RNAcentral's name for it is "partial 16S ribosomal RNA". It matches the Rfam family "Bacterial small subunit ribosomal RNA", at positions 29 to 523 of the family's 1533-position model. The record is from RNAcentral.